Molecule: unclassified non-coding RNA, 287 nt
Filed under: Hevea brasiliensis (rubber tree)
Lineage: Eukaryota; Viridiplantae; Streptophyta; Magnoliopsida; Malpighiales; Euphorbiaceae
Source: RNAcentral
UUGGAUGAUGUGUGGAAUGAGGAUUGUGAAAAAUGGGAUAAUCUAAAGAAAAUAUUGUUGGGUGGUUCUAGUGGAAGUAAGAUAUUAGUAACUACUCGCUCCAAAAUAGUAGCACAGAUAUCUAGCACAGAGGAACCUUAUCUUUUGGAAGGCUUAUCUCCAAGUAAAUCUUGGUCUUUGUUCCUUCAUGUAGCACUUAGGGGACAAGAACCAAAAGAUUCAAAGAUAAAAAAAAUUGUUGAGGAGAUUGUGAAGAAAUGCGUCGGAGUUCCCCUUGCAAUAAAGAC